CCCCAAUGUAUAAGAUGGAGCGGAAACACAGCAGGACCAGCCGCCCUCCAUUGGCAUUUUGAGAGUUGGACGAUGUCAAGCUGAGAACUAUUCCUAGAACAGCUUGACUGGAUAUCUGCGGAUGGAGAUGGGAUACGAAAUUCUGACCCU
Long non-coding RNA from Triticum dicoccoides, 150 nucleotides. RefSeq lists it as uncharacterized. NCBI's taxonomy places the organism in Eukaryota, Viridiplantae, Streptophyta, Magnoliopsida, Poales, Poaceae. The record is from RefSeq and is a predicted model, not a curated record. The transcript has 3 exons.